RNAcentral lists this ribosomal RNA (370 nucleotides) under uncultured organism. RNAcentral describes it as "bacterial SSU rRNA". It matches the Rfam family "Bacterial small subunit ribosomal RNA", at positions 526 to 896 of the family's 1533-position model. The record is from RNAcentral.
CGUAGGCAGCGAGCGUUGUUCGGAGUUACUGGGCGUAAAGCGUGCGUAGGCGGUGUCCUAAGUUUGGUGUGAAAUCUCCCGGCUCAACUGGGAGGGUGCGCCGAAAACUGGGGUGCUGGAGUGUGGGAGAGGUAGGCGGAAUUCCUGGUGUAGCGGUGAAAUGCGUAGAUAUCAGGAGGAACACCUGCGGUGUAGACGGCUUACUGGACCAUGACUGACGCUGAGGCACGAAAGCGUGGGGAGCAAACAGGAUUAGAUACCCUGGUAGUCCACGCCCUAAACGAUGCAUACUUGGUGUGGGUAAUUCAUUUUAUCCGUGCCGGAGCUAACGCGUUAAGUAUGCCGCCUGGGGAGUACGGUCGCAAGGCUG